CAAGAUGGCGGCCGCUACAAAAUGGCGGAUAACGUAGGUUUUAUCAAUCCCAUCAAUAUGGGUAUCAAAUGAAAGGGCUCAACAAGCAGAAUACAAUAUACUAUAAAAAAUUGAAAUACAAGAUGGCGGCCGCUACAAAAUGGCGGAUAACGUAGGUUUUAUCGAUCCCAUCAAUAUGAGUAUCAAAUGAAAGUGCUCAACCAGUAUAAUACAAUGUACUAUAUAAAAUUAAAAUCCAAGAUGGCGGCCUCUACAAAAUGGCGGAUAACUUAGGUUUUAUCAAUCCCAUCAACAUGGGUAUCAAAUGAAAG
This 311-nucleotide unclassified non-coding RNA is filed under the name Melitaea cinxia (Glanville fritillary). RNAcentral's name for it is "misc RNA ENSMCXG00005018380.1". The record is from RNAcentral. Lineage: Eukaryota; Metazoa; Arthropoda; Insecta; Lepidoptera; Nymphalidae.